RNAcentral lists this ribosomal RNA (446 nucleotides) under uncultured bacterium. Its description in RNAcentral is "bacterial SSU rRNA". It matches the Rfam family "Bacterial small subunit ribosomal RNA", at positions 29 to 524 of the family's 1533-position model. The record is from RNAcentral.
AACGAACGCUGGCGGCAGGCUUAACACAUGCAAGUCGAACGAUCCUUCGGGAUAGUGGCAGACGGGUGAGUAACGCGUGGGAACCUUCCCUAUGGUACGGAAUAGCUCCGGGAAACUGGAAUUAAUACCGUAUAAGCCCUUCGGGGGAAAGAUUUAUCGCCAUAGGAUGGGCCCGCGUCGGAUUAGCUAGUUGGUGAGGUAAAAGCUCACCAAGGCGACGAUCCGUAGCUGGUCUGAGAGGAUGAUCAGCCACACUGGGACUGAGACACGGCCCAGACUCCUACGGGAGGCAGCAGUGAGGAAUCUUGGACAAUGGGGCAACCCUGAUCCAGCCAUGCCGCGUGAGGGAAGAAGGCCUUAGGGUUGUAAAUCUCUUUCAGCGGGGAAGAUAAUGACGGUACCGCAGAAGAAGCUCCGGCUAACUCCGUGCCAGCCGCCGCGGUAAU